Molecule: ribosomal RNA, 1535 nt
Filed under: Bacteroides ovatus
Lineage: Bacteria; Pseudomonadati; Bacteroidota; Bacteroidia; Bacteroidales; Bacteroidaceae
Description: bacterial SSU rRNA
Rfam family: Bacterial small subunit ribosomal RNA
Source: RNAcentral
UUUACAAUGAAGAGUUUGAUCCUGGCUCAGGAUGAACGCUAGCUACAGGCUUAACACAUGCAAGUCGAGGGGCAGCAUUUUAGUUUGCUUGCAAACUAAAGAUGGCGACCGGCGCACGGGUGAGUAACACGUAUCCAACCUGCCGAUAACUCGGGGAUAGCCUUUCGAAAGAAAGAUUAAUAUCCGAUAGUAUAUUAAAACCGCAUGGUUUUACUAUUAAAGAAUUUCGGUUAUCGAUGGGGAUGCGUUCCAUUAGUUUGUUGGCGGGGUAACGGCCCACCAAGACUACGAUGGAUAGGGGUUCUGAGAGGAAGGUCCCCCACAUUGGAACUGAGACACGGUCCAAACUCCUACGGGAGGCAGCAGUGAGGAAUAUUGGUCAAUGGGCGAGAGCCUGAACCAGCCAAGUAGCGUGAGGGAUGAAGGCUCUAUGGGUCGUAAACCUCUUUUAUAUGGGAAUAAAGUUUUCCACGUGUGGAAUUUUGUAUGUACCAUAUGAAUAAGGAUCGGCUAACUCCGUGCCAGCAGCCGCGGUAAUACGGAGGAUCCGAGCGUUAUCCGGAUUUAUUGGGUUUAAAGGGAGCGUAGGUGGAUUGUUAAGUCAGUUGUGAAAGUUUGCGGCUCAACCGUAAAAUUGCAGUUGAAACUGGCAGUCUUGAGUACAGUAGAGGUGGGCGGAAUUCGUGGUGUAGCGGUGAAAUGCUUAGAUAUCACGAAGAACUCCGAUUGCGAAGGCAGCUCACUAGACUGCAACUGACACUGAGGCUCGAAAGUGUGGGUAUCAAACAGGAUUAGAUACCCUGGUAGUCCACACAGUAAACGAUGAAUACUCGCUGUUUGCGAUAUACAGCAAGCGGCCAAGCGAAAGCAUUAAGUAUUCCACCUGGGGAGUACGCCGGCAACGGUGAAACUCAAAGGAAUUGACGGGGGCCCGCACAAGCGGAGGAACAUGUGGUUUAAUUCGAUGAUACGCGAGGAACCUUACCCGGGCUUAAAUUGCAUUUGAAUAAUCUGGAAACAGGUUAGCCGCAAGGCAAAUGUGAAGGUGCUGCAUGGUUGUCGUCAGCUCGUGCCGUGAGGUGUCGGCUUAAGUGCCAUAACGAGCGCAACCCUUAUCUUUAGUUACUAACAGGUGAUGCUGAGGACUCUAGAGAGACUGCCGUCGUAAGAUGUGAGGAAGGUGGGGAUGACGUCAAAUCAGCACGGCCCUUACGUCCGGGGCUACACACGUGUUACAAUGGGGGGUACAGAAGGCAGCUACCUGGCGACAGGAUGCUAAUCCCAAAAACCUCUCUCAGUUCGGAUCGAAGUCUGCAACCCGACUUCGUGAAGCUGGAUUCGCUAGUAAUCGCGCAUCAGCCAUGGCGCGGUGAAUACGUUCCCGGGCCUUGUACACACCGCCCGUCAAGCCAUGAAAGCCGGGGGUACCUGAAGUACGUAACCGCAAGGAGCGUCCUAGGGUAAAACUGGUAAUUGGGGCUAAGUCGUAACAAGGUAGCCGUACCGGAAGGUGCGGCUGGAACACCUCCUUUCUG